This is a small nuclear RNA of Cornus florida, 190 nucleotides long. RefSeq annotates it as U2 spliceosomal RNA. NCBI's taxonomy places the organism in Eukaryota, Viridiplantae, Streptophyta, Magnoliopsida, Cornales, Cornaceae. The transcript has a single exon. The record is from RefSeq and is a predicted model, not a curated record.
AUAUCUUUCUCGGCCUUUUGGCUAAGAUUAAGUGUAGUAUUUGUUCUUGUCAGAGCCAAUGACCUACCCAGUAUUAAAUUAAUUUUUUUUAGGAAAAGGACCUACCAAAGUAGCUUGCUAAUGGGACUUUUAAGCGUCGCCCAUGCUAUAGCCAUGCAUAGCACUAUAGCAUGGGCCUGACGCACUUGGU